UGGGGGAUUUUGCACAAUGGGCGCAAGCCUGAUGCAGCGACGCCGCGUGAGGGAUGAAGGCCUUCGGGUGGUAAACCUCUUUCGCUGGGUUGAAAGGCCAUGCUUUGGGUGUGGUGGAUUUGAACUGGUAAAGAAGUACCGGCUAAUUACGUGCAAGCAGCCGCGGUAAUACGUAGGGUACUAGCGUUGUCCGGAUUUAUUGGGCGUAAAGGGCUUGUAGGUGGUUUGUCGCGUCUGUCGUGAAAUCCUGUGGCUUAACCAUGGGCUUGCGGUGGGUACGGGCAGGCUUGAGUGCGGUAGGGGAGACUGGAAUUCCUGGUGUAGCGGUGGAAUGCGCAGAUAUCAGGAGGAACACCGGUGGCGAAGGCGGGUCUCUGGGCCGUUACUGACACUGAGGAGCGAAAGCGUGGGGAGCGAACAGG
Molecule: ribosomal RNA, 422 nt
Filed under: Fusobacteriota bacterium
Lineage: Bacteria; Fusobacteriati; Fusobacteriota
Description: Fusobacteria bacterium partial 16S ribosomal RNA
Rfam family: Bacterial small subunit ribosomal RNA
Source: RNAcentral